GGGGAUGUAGCUCAGUAGUAAAGCACUUGCCUGGCAUGCCUGAUCAGGCCCUAGGUUCAAUCCCUAGUACCACCA
This 75-nucleotide transfer RNA is filed under the name Mesocricetus auratus (golden hamster). It matches the Rfam family "tRNA". Rfam says of the family: Transfer RNA (tRNA) molecules are approximately 80 nucleotides in length. Their secondary structure includes four short double-helical elements and three loops (D, anti-codon, and T loops). Further hydrogen bonds mediate the characteristic L-shaped molecular structure. tRNAs have two regions of fundamental functional importance: the anti-codon, which is responsible for specific mRNA codon recognition, and the 3' end, to which the tRNAs corresponding amino acid is attached (by aminoacyl-tRNA synthetases). tRNAs cope with the degeneracy of the genetic code in two manners: having more than one tRNA (with a specific anti-codon) for a particular amino acid; and 'wobble' base-pairing, i.e. permitting non-standard base-pairing at the 3rd anti-codon position. Lineage: Eukaryota; Metazoa; Chordata; Mammalia; Rodentia; Cricetidae. The record is from Rfam by way of RNAcentral.